Molecule: ribosomal RNA, 570 nt
Filed under: uncultured bacterium
Lineage: Bacteria
Description: bacterial SSU rRNA
Rfam family: Bacterial small subunit ribosomal RNA
Source: RNAcentral
AUUCCUACGGGAGGCAGCAGUGGGGAAUUUUCCGCAAUGGGCGAAAGCCUGACGGAGCAACGCCGCGUGAGGGACGAAGGCCUCUGGGCUGUAAACCUCUUUUCUCAAGGAAGAAGAUAUGACGGUACUUGAGGAAUAAGCCACGGCUAAUUCCGUGCCAGCAGCCGCGGUAAUACGGGAGUGGCAAGCGUUAUCCGGAAUUAUUGGGCGUAAAGCGUCCGCAGGCGGCUUUUCAAGUCUGCUGUUAAAGCGUGGAGCUUAACUCCAUCAUGGCAGUGGAAACUGAAAGGCUUGAGUAUGGUAGGGGCAGAGGGAAUUCCCGGUGUAGCGGUGAAAUGCGUAGAUAUCGGGAAGAACACCAGUGGCGAAGGCGCUCUGCUGGGCCAUUACUGACGCUCAUGGACGAAAGCCAGGGGAGCGAAAGGGAUUAGAUACCCCUGUAGUCCUGGCCGUAAACGAUGAACACUAGGUGUCGGGGGAAUCGACCCCUUCGGUGUCGUAGCUAACGCGUUAAGUGUUCCGCCUGGGGAGUACGCACGCAAGUGUGAAACUCAAAGGAAUUGACGGAAU